GUGUUAUUUUUAAUAGUUGUUACGUUCAUACGACACACAAAAGUUUGGAGUUGAAGGCCCGAGGGCCGACAUGUUCACAAGAGGUUAUGAAGGGUUUUUUGUAAUGGGGCAGAAGCCCACAAUCCAAUAAUGAUCCUUCCGCAGGUUCACCUACGGAAA
RNAcentral lists this unclassified non-coding RNA (159 nucleotides) under uncultured fungus. RNAcentral's name for it is "sequence contains ITS1". The record is from RNAcentral. Lineage: Eukaryota; Fungi.